CGGAUGAUGAGUUUCCUUUGGAGGGCACGGAACACAAUCGGGCUUUUUAUCUCAUAGUGAAAUGCGAAGAUUUUGUGGUCACAAGAGUGCUAGUUGACAAUGGUUCCAAUGCAGACAUCUGCCUUCUCUCCACUCUGUUGAUACCCCAAUUUUUCCCUAUAUAUUUUUAAUAUACAUAAAUACUUUCAAAAAAAGCAUACAUAUGCAUAUAUAAGAAUGCACAAGGUCUUUAUAAUUUUUCUGUAAUUUUUAAGGUUUUAAAUUGAUUUAUUUCUUCCUUUUUUACUUAUAAAAAUUCCAAUAAUUAUCCUUCAAAUUAUUGUCAUGAUAAUUUAACCAUCUAAAUCCUAUAUUUAUGCCAAAAUAUUGCUUAAAUAUUUUUUGUGCAUUUUUUACAAUUUCAUUUAUUUUUUAAGGCCAAUUUGCAUAUAAUUGCAAUAUUAGCCUUAUUAAUGUACAAUUACGUUUUAUAUACAUAAAAUGAUCUUCUAUAUUUUCAAAAUGUUAUUUAAAUCAUUUUGGUACAUGAAAUUAUUUUUAAAAAUCUUCUAUUAUUUAUUAUAAAUUUUAUAGGGCUAAAUUAGCUAUAUAAAACUUAGCCAAAUCAUAUUUCAAUUAUAGCCUCAAUUAAAUCCAAUACCCAGCCCAAUUUCAGGCCAAAUUACCAGACCUAGGCCCUAAUGCAAUUACCCAACCCAAAACCCAUCAGAUCCUCGCCGUUGAUCUUUUUAGAUCAACGACCCUCGUUCAUUCCUUCUUAUUUUAACUCUAAACAACCCCUAGCCCUAAUCAUUUUCCAUAUACCGCCGCCCUAAAAUCCUAUCUACUCUCAGUACACUCUCAACCUAACCCAAGCACUUCAACCGUCGACUUCCCAUCUCCGGUGACCUCUCAUCACCUCUUACGCCUCUGAUGGCUUCUUUCAUGCCAUGAUUGCCUUCUCUAAGAUUUUCAAGGGCCCAGUGUCAUGCUGACUUGCACCUAAGGUUCGCCAGCUGCCUGUUCUUGGCUACUCCAGUGUGAUUUCAAGCAAAAUCAAGUUGUAUUUGCAACGAUCCUUGGGUUUUUUAAGCAAGUUCUUCAUCUCUCUAUGGGUUUCAUUUGAAGCCCUAAUUUCUUUUUUAUACCUCCUAGAUCUGUAUAGAUCUAAGACGAUUUGAGUUUGUUCCGUUAGUGUUUUACACUGUCCUUGAGAUUCUUUACAAGAAUCAUUGAUUUUAAGUGUUUUUCACCUACUUCUAAAUAUUAGGGUUUCGGAACUUCUUUUUAAAACCUUGUUUAACUGAUUCUUUAUGUUUAAACUUCUAUUUCUUGCAUUAUUUUUAACUGAUUCUAUGACUUUACUACAUCUUCAACUCAUCUAUGUUGAAAGCCCUAAUUUUAGGGUUCUUCGUUUGGUUUUUUUUCUUUGUGACUGACCGGUUCUCGUUUGAGUUCCCGUGACUAUCUAGCCUCAAAUAUGUUUCUAUUGAGUUUCUUAGCCUGACUUACAUCAAGUCUAUGUGCUUGUGUUCAUCUUGACUGUUCAAAACUUGUCUCUUUCUCAUUGAAUCAGUUUUGUUUAACUUGCAUGCUUGCUAGAGUUAUAUGUCAACCUUUGGCUAUCCAUGUCUUACUUUAUAUGCUAAACAUUGACUCAUGAUUUUCUCUUUGACUGAUUCUGAAUUCCCUAUUUCUUGGCUUGAUUUGAAAUCUUUCCUUUAGACCUUGGAUUCCACAUGUUUAAAUUUGGCUUAUUUUCUCAUCCAUGGGAACCUAUGUUAUUCUCCUUAAAUCAGUAUUAUUUUGAGUCCUUGACUCACUGAUUUGCUAUAUACUGAUUCUCGAUUAUUUCCAUAUUUUUGCAACCUUAUUUUGUUUUCUUACCUUAUUUGGUUAAUCAAGUAUUUUACUGAUUCUUCACCAACUGUUUCCUUAAUUGAAUCAUUUGUGUAUUUACCCCUAAUUGUCUAUUUUGUACCUAAUGCCUUACUUGAUUUUCUUUCCUCAAACAUGUCCUACUCUUUACCGUUGGCCAAUUACCCCUUAAUUAAGGGGAUACAUGCAUUGAUUUGAUUAUGAUUAGUAUAUGGUUCCCUAAUUAUUGCUGAACAUUGAUUCUUGCCUUAUUUUCUACCUAUCCUCAAAAUAUAAAUACCCUACUCUUUCAUUAGCACAACACACGAACAGAUUGGUUCAAAACUCUCUCUCUCUCUCUCUCACUAAAAGCUUUCUGCUCUCUUUUGUGUUGCCUAUUACUGUUCUAAGUUAGCCAGCUCAAAUACAAGGCUAACUAUUGGGUUCUCUUUCACUUUGUGUUUACCAUCCCUUUACUAGUAUGUUCUAAAUUCAAUUCAAGUCCCAAAACAAUAUGCUUCUCCUACUACUUCAAUUUGUCAUGUUCCUAAUAUGCUUUCAUUAAAGGUUUUGUUGUUUAACCUGCAACUAACAUGUCUACUUCAAUGUUUUCUUUACUGUAUGCUUCUUAAUACCCCCUUAGGGUUAGCCUGCUCAUGAAUCCCUUUCUAGUAUACCCCAAUAUGACUAUGUUUCUCUGAUUUCUGAAAUGCACCUUCCAGUGUAAACUAAUUGGCAAUUCUAAGCCUGUUUGAUUCUGUAUUAACUCUGAAGUUCAUGUUGUACCUAUGUGCAUUUGUGCUUACUAUGUACCCUAACUUGCCCCACAAUCCCCAUUAACCCUGAGUGAACGUGUGUACCUAUUUUAUUCCAUGCAUUGAAGUGAUGAGGAACCUUUUCUGGUUCUGUAUUUGGUUUGUUCAUUGUUAAUCACCUUAUUCUUUUAAAAUUUUCUUAUUUAAUAACUCCAUGUGUUGUCUUUACAAAACUAUUUCAAGCAAAUCUCUUUUAACACUGUUUUCCUACUAAAACCCUUUUCAAACUAUGUCAAGCACUCUCACUUUACUCUUAAGUCCCUAGGUUCUGCCUAUCCUAGUGUGUGUACUAUCUUGGGAUCCUUUGGAGAUCCCUCUGAACUCUGGCACACUGAGGCUGGCCCUUCCAUAGUGAACUUACUCAAUUUGGUUACAAUGUCUAGGUGCGAGCACUGCCCAGGAUCCUUAAGAUCCUUAGGGAACUCUAAUGCACCUAGACAAUAAUAUUGUCUAUGAAAUUGGCAUUUGAGGAUAUUGGAGGUUUUGGAAAUCACUUGGGCCUGCUUCAGGCUCCCUAUAGUUUAACUUCUUCUUUUUCUUUAUCUAUGCAAUUCAUUCAUCUGGUUUGUAAUAAUUUGCAAACGAAUAUUGGCUUGAUUAGUCAAAAGGGGUGGGUAGUUACAUAUUUGUGGGGUAAUAUGGGUAGAAACCAUGCCUAUAGUUAUCCUGCUUCUAGGCAUCACCUUUCUGCAUUUAGGCAAGCCUGUAGGGCGUUUUAAAUUCUAUAACUUUGAAACUGUAUUUCUACUACUUGAAGUUGUUUAGAUUUAACAAGUCUAAUCUGUAGGCAAGUUAAAUAGGAUCCUUCAUAUAUUGGCCUAAUUCAGUACUUUAUAACCUCUGCUCACCUAGAUAUCAUGUUCUAGGAGUUGUUUCUUAAAUGUUUAAAUGUUGUUUGAAGACUUGAACUUAUAUGAUAUGCUCGAGGAGGUAACUGUGAGCCUCUAACUUGCUUUAUAUGCAGUCCUAAAUUGUUCUUGCAUGUCGCCUAGAAUUUUCUCCUUUUAAGCACCUUAGGGGUUGUCUAAAACUACCCAGAUUUAGAGGUCCUAAAAUACCUCCAGGGCCACAAGGAAGGGACGGGUAGUGCAUGCAUAGGCAUUGUCAAGGUUACUAGAAUGCUUUAGGCUAUGACCAACGGGAGGGGCUUGGGUAGAAUGGGAUAUGAUGACUACGUGCUCAUGUCACGUGCAGCCCCUCAUUGAGGAGUGUUUACCGGGAAUUGCGUGGGGUGAUCCUGUUGGCUAACCAACCUAGGACCCCUCCUUUCCAAAAAUUCUUUUGCUUUACUUGUUCUAUAUGUAAACAACUUGUUCAAAAUCUUUGUCUUAUUAUUUGAGUUAUACAACGUCCAACGCUCUUUAUUUGCAAUUAUUUGUUUCAACUACUUAUUUGUUAAUGGACUAAUUCAUAAAUAUAAGUUCGGUCGGGACCCACAGUUGUGGACCAAGAGGGGUGCCUAACACCUUCCCCUCGAGGUUAUUUCGAGCCCUUACCCUAAAUCUUUGGUAAUGCAAACCAAUCUAAGAGUUAGUUGCUCUAUGCGCCCUAACGCACCAUAAUCCGUAAAGUGGAGACUCAUCAAAUACCUAAUUCCCAAAAGGAAAUGAGUUAUUACCCCCAUAAAUGUCGAAACUCCGAACCUUUUCUUCCCCGUAAAGAAGGGAGGGAGAAAAAGGGGGCGCGAGAACAUGGCGACUCUUUUAAGCAUUUAUGACUCUUUAUCCCUGAAACUGACUUUUCUCUUUAUUUUCUUCUUCAUGUAACUGUCUUUCAAUUAUUCAAAUAUUGUAUUUAUUUUUCCUACGUGCAAAUACUUGACUACAUGUUAUUAAUUGGUGCAUAACUCAUGUGCCAUAUCAUAUUCCACUCGUGUGUAUCAAAUCUUAUAGCAACGCUUUAAUGAGUGGUUGCGCUCUUCCUAUUUACUACCCUUAAAUUUGGAAAGGCUUAUUUGUGGUAAAACCAGUCGAUUAGCAGUGCAGCCGAUGGUUUCGUGCCUUCCCUCUCAAGUUGUUUGCUUGAGGGUACCAGUCUAAAAUCCCAUAGUAGACUUACUCUAUUUAAUAUUGUGCAUGCAUCAUGGUCAAACCUAGUCAGGAUCAAUAUGUUGUCCAUAUAAUGAACCUUUAAGAUAAGUCUUAUCCAAAAGUCCAUCGGGUUUUCCGUAAUCCCAACAGACGCAACCACAUUCUGUGCAUUAAUUUGGAGAACUAAAUGUCGAUAUGCUAAUUAUAAAUGUAUAAAUAGUCAAGUCUGGUGGAGAUGGUCCUAACCCUUUUGUUUUGCAGAAAAUGAGGCACGAGGUCCCCAACUUUGGUAUGGUUAGCACACCCUCACUCUUGCUAGACUGGUAGAGGAAUCUUCCAUCAAAUGACCAAAUCAAUGAAUGGAAAGAGAGGGCCGCCAAAUCUAGCGAGAAGCUGGAAUAUCUGGAAUACAGCCUAUUGGAAUUGGAAGGAAAAGUGAAGAAGAGAGUCACCGACUGCCAGAACGCUGAGAGAAAUGAAGGAGGACAUUUGGCAAAGGCAUUCUUACUGGUGAACCUACGCGAACUGGAGGAUCUGAUCAACGAGAGAAUUCAACCUGAGAAAGGUCCAUCUGGGACCAAAUAAGCUAGAUUUAUUUGUUUUUUCCUAAAAUGUAAUAAGGCCGAGUGUCAGUAGUGACUUAUUUUAUCAUCUUAGUGUCGUUUUGGGAUUCGUCUAUUUUUAUAUUAUGAAAUGAAGCAUUUAUUGGCAUUAAAAGUUUUCCAAAUUUAUUUGUCGCUAGGCCUACCUCGGGCAUAAUGAGUUUCCCAAAGUAGGACGCGAAUUUACAUUUCCGCAACAUGUGUUUAAAUACUGCAAGCAUUUCAGGAUCCCCACUGACUUGUUAUCUUUUUGUUUUUCCUUAUUUUUGAUUAUUCCCAUCCAUUUAGGUUGGUUCACUCAUACUGGCCUCAUCAGCGUAUCAUACCAUAUCCAGAGGCCCUCCACCUCUUCCUCCUCCAAGAAAUAUAAAAGGCAGAGGAAAAGCAAAAAUGGAUGACUUAAGUGGAAUCUGAAAGGAGAAUAUCGAGAAUGCAGAAACCUCAGAUGGUCGUAGUACUCCGGCCCCAAAUGAUCUGGUUUUGAGAUUGGAACAAAAGAUACUAGAGCUGCAAGGAGAACUUGAGCAUGUUCGCAACUUGUUAAACUUGUCACUCACUCUAAAUAUCCCUGUCAUCAACCAACAGAACACUAAGAACCCAACACCUCCCCAUAAUAUACAAAACCAACAUCCACAAAAUCCUCCUGCACUGAAUCAAUAUCUCAACCCACUGCCAAUACGAACUCCACCACAACAUCACCAUCAACCAAUUCAGUACCCGCCAACCACCACUUACCCCACUCCCUAAAACACACCACCCAUUCCCGAUCCACAAAACUACACCAAUGUCCAUCACUACACCCAAGUUCCUAGCACCCAUCAAAGCAACCCUAUAUAUGUGGAAACUGUACCUCAUUCUACCCAACCAAUCUCCUGUACACUGGAAUCCUCCAAGAAGGACUUGCUUAUUAAAAACAUGGCUAAAGAACUCAAGAAAUUAACAAGCCGAGUUCAGGGUAUUGAAGGCGACGGAGGAAUAGAAGGUUUAAACUAUGAAGACCUGUGCAUACAGCCAAAUGUUGAAUUGCCUGAGGGGUACAAACCUCCCAAGUUCGAGAUGUUCGACGGCACAAGUGAUCCCAGGGCUCAUCUAAGGACCUAUUGUGACAAGCUUAUCAGGGUCGGGAAAGAUGAAAAGAUCUGGAUGAAGCUCUUUAUGAGAAGUCUUACUGGGGAUGCUUUGUCUUAGUAUAUUAGCCAAGAUCCCAAGAAAUGGUCCAAGUAGAUAAGUAUGGCAUUGGAUUUCAUGGACCGGUUCAGGUUCAACACAGAGAACGCACCGGAUGUUUUCUACAUUCGGAAUAUUAAGAAGAAACCUACUGAGACUUUCCGUGAGUAUCCUACUCGUUGGAGGUCGGAAGCGGCCAAGGUCAGGCCAUCUUUGGAUGAAGAACAAAUGAACAAAUUCUUCGUCCGAGCGCAGGAUCCACAAUAUUAUGAAAGGUUGAUGGUUGUCGAAAAUCACAAAUUCUCUGACAUCAUCAAACUUGGGGAAAGAAUCGAAAAAGGAAUUAAGAGUGGGAUGCUAACGAACUUUGAGGCAUUGCAAUCCACGAAUAAGGCACUACAAUCAGGAGGCAUAUCGAAGAAGAAAGAUGUUGGGGCAGUAAUGGUGGCCCAGGGUCCAAAAUCCUCACUUGUCUAUCAAACCCCUCUAUCUACAUAUCAAACACCUCCUCCCACAUAUCAAGCACAUUUACCUACAUAUCAAACACCUCCACCCACAUACCAAGCAUCACCGCCUACAUAUCAACCUUCAUCUCCUAGAUAUUCCUAACCAUCCUACGUCUAUCACACCUACAACUCCCAACCAUCCCACUUCCAAUCACCAUCAGCCCGCCAAAACUAUCCAUGACCAAGACCCAACUUCGAUCGUAAACAACCCAGACAAUACACCGCCAUUACUGAGCCCAUUGACCAGUUGUCUGAAAGGUUUAAAGCCGCAGGUUACAUCACUCAUGUUCCCACAAUGGCGUUAGAAAGUUCAUCCCAAUAGGUCAAUCCGAACAAGACUUGUAUGUGUCAUUCUGGUAUGAAGGGGCACACCACUGCUGAGUGUCGUACAUUGAAAGAUAAGAUCCAGACGUUGAUUGAAACCAAGGUCAUAUAGGCAAAGGAAGUUGAACCUAACGUUUACAAUAAUCCCCUCCUUAAUCAUAGAGGUGAUAGUGUACAUGUGAUAGAGAAAAAUGAAGAAUGGGACCCUGAGGGUCGAUUGGGCUUAUUCGAGAAGGAGAUGACUUUAAAGUUGCAGUCAAACUUACUCCUAUUGUGGUACAGACUCAUUCCUCAAUCGAGGUUGAGGUAACUGCAUUAGUUCCAUUCGAGGUAGAGGUGGCUCCGCCCGUGGCCACUCUUGCUCUAUUUUAAGUCGAAGUGGUCACACCUUUCACUGUGUCAGUGUCAACCACACCCCCAUUCAACUCAAAAGCAAUACACUGGGAUUAUGUUGUUGAGUCUCGGCGAAAGGGGAAGGCCAAGAUAGAGAAAUCUAACGCCGCACAAGGAAUAACUAGAACUGGAAGAGUCUAUACACUGGAACAUUUGGGAGGAUCAAGUAAGGAUGACACUACUAGGCAGCCUAUCAUUGAGACCGGGCCAGAUGACCUGUGGAGGAAAGUACAGGCAAAGGAGUAUUCUAUCGUUGACCAUCUGAACAAAGUCCCUGCUCAGAUAUCAAUCCUGUCACUAUUUCAAAAUUCAGUGGCACACAAGAAUGCUUUAAUUAAAGUGCUAAGUAAGGCUUAUGUACCCAAUAACAUCACUGGCGGAUAAAUGGCCAAGAUGGUUGGGCAUGUACUGGAAAGUCAUAAGAUCAUCUUCCAUGAGGAUGAGCUACCACUUGAGGGGCUAAAUCACAAUCGAGCAUUGCAUAUCAUACUGCAAUGUGAAGACAAGUUCAUUGACGCGGUCCUAUUUAACAGAGGUUCAAGCCUAAAUAUUUGUCCGCUGGACACUCUAAAAAGGUUGGACAAAGGUUUCCAUGAAAUACGGGUAAGAAGCAUGAAUGUGAAAGCAUUCGAUAGGUCCCAAAAGGCCACAAUUGGGGAAAUCAACCUUUGCUUGCAGAUGGGGGCCAACUUGGUUCGAUGUCGAGUUUUAGGUGCUCAACAUACCAGCCUCAUAUAAUCUUCUGCUCGGCCGACCAUGGAUACAUGUCGCUAGAGCCAUGCCUUCCACACUACAUCAAGACGUUAAAUCGAAUGAACCGUUAGAGGGUGAUCAUCCAUAGAGAUGGGAGUAACCCCAUCUACACAAGUCAAACCAUUCCGGCCAUUGGACAUAGAAGGAGGCUAGGAGAGGAGACCUAUCAUCACAUUGAACGGGUCAACGCCGUCGAGAAAGAUAAAUGGUGGAGUAACAAAAUAGAAAGCAUACUAGCAUGGUCUGGAUAUGAACCCGGUAAAGGGUUGGGAAAGAACCUCCAAGGUAUCACUAAACCAAUAUAGCUGAAAAAUCAUGGUACCACCUUUGGGAUUGGAUACCAGUAUACAUGGAAAAACUAUAGGAAUUGGUUGCCUCCAUGGUGUGGACCAUAUUACCCUCUUGAACAGCCACUGCCGCGUUUGGAACAAGCUUUUCACCAGGCUAAUACGAUAUAGGGGACUACAGAAGAAGAAGCACUAGCAGGGUUGAAGAAUUUAUUCUUGGAAGAUGAAGACAUGGACUACAGUGCCAUAAUUGAGGAGGAGGAAGAAGAAGUCCUCACUAUUCAGACCAUGAAGAAGGGAGUUGUCCUCAGAAACUGAACCGUCACACCAUCCCGAGCCCGUCGAGUCCCUGGGUAGCCUGGUAGAUGUUUACUUUUAUAGCCAUUCUAGGCAUUUAACCAGCAACUUUGUUUUAAGAUUUACUUGUUUCAAAAUAAAUGCUCGAUUCAUCGAACCAAGCAUUGUCUGAACGAUUUUCUCAAUUUUAAUCAAAUGCAUUUGUUCUUUAUCGUUAUUCAUUACUAUUUUUAUACUUUUUCCUUCUACAGUGUUAUUAUUACUUUUCCUGAUGAACCAGUGACUGUGACAUGUAAUGAGGCAACGCAACAUGAGAAUAAUGAUUCAGAUGAAUAGGAUGAGAUACCCGAGGAAAUUGUCAGGAAAGUCAAUAAUUUUGAGAACAAGCCUAAGUCCAACCUGGACGAACAGAAGCCGUAAAUUUGGGAGACCCCGAAAACGUCAAUGAGACUUGCAUCAGCAUUUACUUGUCACCGGAAGAGAAGGAAGAGUACAUUCGGUUCCUAAGAGAGUAUGAGGAUAUUUUCGCAUGGUCAUAUGAUGACAUGACCGAUUUGAGCACGUCCAUAGUGGCUCACAAGCUGCCUAUUAAUCCCAUGUGUCAACCAGUCAAGCACAAACUCAGAAAGUUCAAACCAGACAUGAGCCUAAAAAUCAAGGAGGAAGUUACUAGGCAGAUCAAAGCCAAAGUUCUCAGGGUGGUUGAGUACUUGACUUGGUUAGCUAACAUUGUGCCAGUUCCGAAAAAGGAUGGGAAGGUCAGGGUAUGUUUUGACUAUCGGGAUUUAAACAGAGCGAGUCCCAAGGACGACUUUCCACUACCAAACAUACACAUUUUGAUCGACACCAAGCAUGAACUCCAAUCCUUUGUAGAUUGCUUCGCGGGUUAUCACCAGAUCUGGAUGGAUGAAGAAGAUGUAGAUAAGACAGCUUUUAUUACACCAUAGGGUGUAUACUAUUACAAGAUGAUGCCAUUCGGUUUGAAGAACACUAGGGCCACUUACAUGAGAGUCAUGACAACCAUAUUCCAUGAUAUGAUACAUAAAGAAAUAGAGGUGUAUGUGGACGAUGUCAUUAUCAAAUACAAGAAGGCCACGAAUCACAAAGCAGACUUGAGGAAGUUCUUUGACAAACUAAGGAGGUACAAUUUGAAACUGAACCCCGCAAAGUGUGCAUUCAUGGUUCCUGCCGGAAAGUUAUUGGCAUUCGUCGUUAGUCGUCGAGGAAUCGAGAUGAAUCCAUCUAAAGUCAAGGCUAUUUAGGAAUUACCACCACCUAAGAGCAAAAAGGACGUGAUGAGCUUCCUAGGACGUCUUAACUACAUCAGCGGCUUCAUAGCACAGAUCACAGUCAUAUGUGAGCCCAUAUUCAAGAUGCUAAGAAAAGAUGCCGAAACGAGCUGGACUGAGGAUUAUCAGAAAACCAUUGACAGAAUUAAGGAGUACCUAUCCACACCACCAGUGAUGGUCCUGCCAGAGCUGGGCGGCCUUUACUACUUUAUCUAUCUAUAUUCGAUGGGGCCUUCGGAUGUGUUUUGGGACACCAUGAUGAGACUGAAAGAAAGGAGUAGGCUAUAUACUACUUGAGUAAGAAGUUCACACCUUAUGAAGCACAGUAUUCUCUGCUUGAACGCACUUGCUGUGCUUUGACCUGGACGACCCAGAUGUUAAGGCAUUACUUCUGUGCCUAUACAACAUACCUCAUAUCCAGGAUGGACCCUUUAAAGUACAUAUUUCAGAAACCCAUGUCGACUGGGACGUUGGCUAAAUGGCAAAUACUACUAAGCGAGUUCGAUAUCGUCUACGUAACCGAAAAGGUGGUCAAAGGAUAAGCACUGGCAAAUCAUCUCGCUGAAAAUCCGGUGGGAGGAGCAUACGAACCUUUGAAGACAUAUUUUCCUGAUGAAGAAAUAUCAUUUAUAGGGGAGGAUGUUACCGAAGCAUAUGAUGGUUGGAGGAUGUUUUUUGAUGGAGCGAUUAAUUUUAAAGGAGUGGGCAUUGGAGCAGUUUUGGAAUUAGAAAUGGGUCAGCAUUAUCCUGUAUCUGCUAAACUCAUAUUCCCCUGAACCAACAACAUGGAAGAGUAUAAAGCUUGCAUACUGGGACUCAACAUGGCAAUCGACAUAAACAUUCAGGAGUUGCUGGUGAUCGGAGAUUCUGAUUUGCUUGUGCACCAAGUACAAGGAGAGUGGGCCACCAAGAACUCCAAGAUAUUGUCAUAUCUACACCAUGUGUAGGAAUAGAGAAAGAGGUUCGCAAGGAUAGAAUUCCGACAUGUGCCUAGAAUUCAGAAUGAGUUUACCGACGCAUUGGCCACCUUAUCAUCUAUGAUACAACAUCCAGAUAAGAAUUAUAUUGAUCCCAUUCCGGUAAAGAUCCAUAAUCAGCCGGCAUAUUGUGCCCAUGUUGAAGAAGUGACGGAUGGAAAACCUUGGUUCCACGACAUCGAGGAGUAUUUGUCGAAGGGAGAAUACCUAGAGCAUGCUAAUCACACUCAAAAACACAAACUCCGGAGACUGUCAAAUCACUUCUUCCACAACAGAGGAAACUUGUACAUAAGAACUCCUGAUUUGGGUUUACUAAGGUGUGUCAACGCAAAGAAAACGUAUAAGCUACUGAGGAUGUACAUGUCGGGACCAGUGGCCCACAUAUGAAUGGUUUUGUCUUGGCUAAGAAGAUACUCAGAGUCGGUUACUUUUGGAUGACCAUGGAGACGAUUGCAUCCAAUAUGUCAGCAAAUGCUUUCAAUGUCAAGUGCAUGCCAAUAUGAUAAAAGUGCCGCCGAAUGAGCUCAAUGCAACAAGCUCACCUUGAAAAUUCGCGCGCCUGGGGAAUGGAUGUUAUUGGUCCAAUUGAGCCCACUACUUCAAACAGACACAGGUUUAUUCUUGUCGCCAUUGAUUACUUCACAAAAUGGGUAGAGGCUGCAUCUUACAAAGCUGUAACCAAGAAAGUCAUCACAGAUUUUGUCAAGGGUCAUAUUGUUUGCCGAUUCGGGGUUCCUGAGUCCAUUAUUACUGAAAAUGCCACCAAUCUCAACAGUGAUCUGAUGAAAGCUAUGUGUGAAACUUUCAAAAUCAAGCACAAGAAUUCCACAACCUACAGCCCUUAGAUGAAUGGAGCCGGAGAAGCUGCCAACAAAAACAUUAAGAAGAUACUAAGGAAAAUGGCAGAGAACCACAAACAGUGGCAUGAGAAGUAACCCUUUGCUUUGUUGGGAUACCGCACUAUAGUUCGAACAUCAACCGGAGCAACUCCCUACAUGCUGGUUUAUGGUGCCGAGGCUGCCAUUCCAGCCGAGGUAGAGAUUCCUUCUUUAAGAAUCAUACAGGAAGCUGAACUCAGCAAUGCAGAGUGGAUAAGGAGCCGUUAUGAAUAAUUGGCCCUUGUAGAUGGAAAGAGGAUGAAUGCAGUGUGUCACGGCCAACUUUAUCAGAAUAGAAUGUCUAGAGCUUUCAAAAAAAUGGUCAAACCAAGGCAAUUUGCACCAGGUCAGUUGGUGCUGAAGAAGAUCUUCCCAUAUCAAGAUGAAGCCAAAGGGAAAUUCUCCCCCAACUGGCAAGGUCUGUAUAUGGUUCACAGGGUGCUGAUAGGAGGAGCACUCAUACUUGCAGAAAUGGACGGAGAAAUCUGGCCAAAGCCAAUCAAUUCAGACGCAGUCAAGAGAUACUAUGCGUAGAUUUAUUACAUUUUCCUUCUGAUGUAAUUCAACUACGCUUGACCUGAUUCUCGUUUAAGAGGGGAUACGUAGGCAGCCUUACGGGUUCGGUCAUAUCAUAAUAAAAUUUUCAUUCCCUCCCCCCCAAGCUUAGAAACUGGGGCAAAAAUUUGAGGAAGACCCUCAAAAUUCCGGAGUAAGUCCAGCCAAUGUCAUCACAUGCCAGAAAGUCAGUAAUUAGUUAAGAAACUGGGGAAAAAUUUUGAGAAGGAUUCUAAAAAAAUUAUGAAAAAGACUCAGCAAGGCUUAUUAUCCAUAGACAGUCAAAAGAUCAUCCACCAAACUGAGGCAGAAUUUUGAGGAGGACUCUCAAAAUUCCAACAUAAGAGAGAUGAAAUGCCUUUGAAAUGUGUUACGGUCACUAGUUCAUCAAAUGUAUCAAUAUAUUUCUAAAAUAACUUUAUUUUUUAUCAAAUUGCAUAUUUCGAAAACUCUAUUUUCAUGGAAGUCAGUGUCACCAAGGGGAACUCGAAAGGCUUUCAGAACGGAACAAAGCAAAGCCAGCUACUAGAAGUAAGAACCAACCUUCCCCCCGCCCAACAAAACUUACAAUUUUUCUUAGAACGUAGGCACAUCCGACGUAACGAUAACAUCCACAUAGCAAGAUCACUAUCAAUCAUGCCAUCAAACAUCGAAUAUAUCUCCAGCUAAGACAUAUACUACUUUUAUUUGCUACGUGCUCUUUGCAUGAGGCUAAUCCUUGCCUCUCUAUAUUCAUGAGUCUAAUUCUUGACUCCAUACCUGCAUGAGGCUAAUCUCUGCCUCCCUAUUUGCAUGAGUCUAAUCCUUGACUUCAUACUUUCAUGAGGCUAAUCCAUGUCUCCCUAUUUGUAUGAGUCUAAUCCUUGACUCCAUACCGACAUGAGGCUAAUCCCUGCCUCCCUAUUUACAUGAGUAUGAUCCAUGACUCUAUACCUGUAUGAGGCUAAUCCCUGCCUCCUUAUUUUCAUGAGUCUAAUCCUUGACUUCAUCCUAUGUGAAGCUAAUCCAUGCUUCCAUAUAUGCAUGAGACUAAUCCUUGCCUCCCCAUUUGCAUGAGGCUAAUUCGUGCCUCCCUGCCUGCAUGAGGCUAAUCCCUGCCUCCAUAUUCGCAUGGGACUAAGCACUGUCCCUUUUCGCACAAAUCUUGCUCUAUUUUUAGCAUUAUCUAUUAGAUUUUCUGUCAGACUAAGCUCUCCUCUACAUUUCGCAAGACUAAGCCUUGUCUUCUUAACAUCAUGUUAUUGCAUGUCAUUGGCUGAAAUAUUGCCAAUCUAUCCGAAGGCGUCAUAGUCUAAAGGCAUCAUCCUCAUAGCCCGAAGAUACUAUGCCAUGGCCUGAGGAUCUCUCAAAUUUGCACAUCAUUAUUCAAAGGCAUCAUGGAUCGGAGGCACCAUCUUCAUGGCCCAAGAACAUCAUUUCAUGGCCUGCGAAUCCCUCACUGAACAAUUCAUGGCCCAGGACGUCAUUGUCUGAGGACGUCAUCUUUAACUGUCCAAAGACAACCUUCAUAGUCGAAAGGGAAUUUGCAUUAUGUUUAAAUUUUGGCAAAUACAUGUUUGUAGCGUCUUUUAUCUGUAGGUAACUAGUAAGAAACCACUAUCCUAGUAGGAGCGAUCUCGCUCCAGUUCACUCCAACUGUCCCGAGCUUUAAUUGCUCACCAUAGCCACUUCGGCAUCACGUGUCCGUUCUUGCAAUAAUUUCAUCCGCAUAAUCCGCAGGUGAAUCCAGAACUACACAUGGCUUGAUUCCUUUAAAACUAGGGAUAUGUAGGCAACUCGAAGACCGGAGUCCGGACCGUGUCUUUCAAAGCAUCCCGUCUGGUCAGAAUUGUUAUCAUUUCUUUACCCGAAAACUCUUUCAUCCUUCUCGGGUAAAGAGGGGCAGUUGUUAUACCCAAUUUUUCCCUAUAUAUUUUUAAUAUACAUAAAUUCUUUCAAAAAUGUGUGUAUAUAUAUGCAUAUAUAAUCAUGCACAAGGUCUUUAUAAUUUUUUUUUGUAAUUUUAAAGGUUUUAAAUUGAUUUAUUUCAUCCUUUUUUACUUAUAAAAAUUUCAAUAAUUAUCCUUCAAAUUAUUGUUAUGAUAAUUUAAUCAUCUAAAUCCUAUAUUUAUGCCAAAAUAUUUCAUAAAUAUUUUUUGUGCAUUUUUUACAAUUGCAUUUAUAUUUUUCAAGGCCAAUUUGCAUAUAAUUGCAAUAUUAGCCUUAAUAAUGUACAAUUACGUUUUAUAUGCACAAAAUAAUCUUCUAUAUUUUUAAAAUAUUAAAUAUCUAUUUUAAAUCAUUUUUGUACACGAAAUUAGUUUUUAAAAAUCAUCAAUUAUUUAUUAUAAAUUAUAUAGGGCUAAAAUGGCUAUUUAAAACUUUGCCAAAUCACAUUUCAAUUAUAGCCUCAAUUAAACCCAAUACUCAGCCCAAUUUCAGGCCAAAUUACCCGACCCAGACCCUAAAUACAAUUACGAGACCCAAAACCCAUCAGAUCCUGGCCGUUGAUCUAAACGAUCAACAACCCUCAUUCAUUCCUUCUUUUUUUUAACUCUAAACAACCCCUAGCCCUAAUCAUUUUCCACAUACCGCCGCCCUAAAAUCCUUUCUACUCUCAGUACACUCUCAACCUAACCCUAGCCCUUCAACCGCUGACCUCCCAUCUCCGAUCAUCUCCGGUGACCUCUCAUCGCCUCCUACGCCUCAAUGGCUUCUCCCAUGUCAUGCUUGCCUUCUCUAAGGUCUUCAAAGGCCCAGGGCCAUGCCGAGUUGCACCUAGGGUUCGUCACCUACCUAUUCUUGGCUACUCCAAUGUGAUUUCAAGCAAAACCAUGUUGUAUUUGCAACGAUCCUUGUGUUUUCUAAGCAAGUUCUUCAUCUCUAUAUGGGUUUCUUUCGAAACCUUAAUUUCUUUUCUAUACCUCCUAGAUCUGUACAGAUCUAAGACGAUUUUAGUUUGUUCCUUUAAUGUUUUAUAUUGUCCUUGAGAUUCUUUACAAGAAUCAUUGAUUUUAAGUGUUUUUCACCUACUUCUAAAAACUAGGGUUUCAGAACUUCUUUUAAAACCUUAUUUAACUGAUUCUUUGUGUUUAAACUUUUAUUUCUUGCAUUAUUUUAACUGAUUCUAUGACUUUACUACAUCUUCAACUCAUCUAUGUUGAAAGUCCUAAUUUUAGGGCUCUUCGUUUGGUUUUUUUUGUGACUGACCGGUUCUCAUUUGAGUUCCUGUGACUAUCUAGCCUCGAAUAUGUUUCUACUGAGUUUCUUAGCCUGACUUACAUCAAGUCUAUGUGCUUGUGUUCAUCUUGACUAUUCAAGACUUGCCUCUUUCUCAUUGAAUCAGUUUUUUUAACUUGCAUGCUUGCUAGAGUUAUAUGUCAACCUUUGGCUAUCUAUCUCUUACUUUAUAUGCUAAACACUGACUCAUGAUUUUCCCUUUGACUGAUUCUGAAUUCCCUAUUUCUUAGCUUGAUUUGAAAACUUUCCUUUAAACCUUCGAUUCCUCCUGUUUAAAUUUGGCUUACUUGCUCAUUCACAGGAACCUAUGUUAUUCUCCUUAAAUUAGUAUUAUUUCGAGUGUUUGACUCACUGAUUUGCUAUAUACUGAUUCUUGAUUAUUUCCAUAUUUUCGCAACCUUAUUUUGUUUUCUUACCUUAUUUGGUUAACCGAGUAUUUUACUGAUUCUUCACCAAAUGUUUCCUUAAUUUAAUCCUUGUGUAUUUACCCCUAAUUGUCUAUUUUUCACCUAAUGCCUUACUUGAUUUUCUUUCCUCAGACAUGUCCUUCUCUUUACCGUUGGCGAAUUACCCCUUAAUUAAGGGGGUACUUGUAUUGAUUUGAUUUUGAUUAGUACAUGGUUCCCUAAUUAUUGUUGAACUUUGAUUCUUGCCUUAUUUUCUACCUAUUCUCAAAAUAUAAAUACCCUGCUCUUUCAUUAGCACAACACACGAACAGAUUGGUUCAAAACUCUCUCUCUCUCUCUCUCUUAUACUAAAAGCUUUAUGCUCUCUUUUGUGUUGCCUAUUAUUGUUCUAGGUUAUCCGACUGAAAGCCAAGGCUAACUAUUGAGUUCUCUUUUACUUUGUGUUUACCAUCCCUUUACUGGUAUGUUUUAAUUUCAAUUCAAGUCCCAAAACAAUAUGCUUCUCCUACUACUUCAAUUUGUCAUGUUUCUAAUAUGCUUUUAUUUAUGCUUUUGUUGUUCAAUUUGCAACUAACAUGUCUACUUCACUGUCUUCUUCACUACAUGCUUCUGAAUAUACCCCCUUAGGGUUAGCCUACUCAUGAAUCCCUUUCUAGUGUACCCCAAUAUGACUAUGCUUCUCUGAUUUCUGAAAUACACCUUCUUGUGUAAACUAAUUGGCCAUUCUAAGCCUGUUUGAAUCUGUAUUAACUCUGAAGUUCAUGUUGUACCUAUGUGCAUCUAUGUUUACUAUGUGCCCUAUACUUGCCCCAAAAUCAUCAUUACCUCUGAGUGAAUGUGUGUACCUGUUCUAUUCCAUGCAUUGAAAGUACUGAGGAACCUCUUCUGGUUCUGUAUUUGGUUUGUUGAUUGUUAAUCACCUUACUCUUUUUAAAAUUAUCUUAUUUAAUAACUCCCUGUGUUGUCUUUACUAAACUAUUUCAAGCAAAUCUCUUUUAACAUUGUUUUCCUACUAAAACCCUUUCAAACUAUGUCAAGAACUCUCACUUUAAUCCUAAGUCCCUAGGUUCUGCGCCCUCCAGUGUGUGUAUUUCCUUGGGAUCCUUUGGAGAUACCUCUGAACUCUGGCACACUGAGGCUGGCCCUUCCACACUAUACUUACUCAAUUUGGUUACAAAGUCUCGCUGUGAGCACCGCCCGGGAUCCUUGAGAUCCUUAGGGAACUUUGACGCACCUAGACAAUGAUAUUGUCUAUAAAAUUGGCAUUUGAGGCUAUUGGAAGUUUGGGAAAUCACUUAGGCCUACUUUAGGCUUCCUAUAGUGUAACUUCUUGUUUUUCUUUAUCUAUGCAAUUCAUUCAUCUGGUUUGUAAUAAUUUGUAAAUGAAUAUUAAGGUGAUUAGUGAAAAAGGGUAAGUAGUUACAUAUUUGUGGGGUAAUAUGGGUAGAAACCAUGCCUAUAGGAUUUUAUAUAUUUGCUAUGUCCGUCCUACCAUAUCAGAAACCAUGCCUAUAGGAUUUUAUAUAUUUGUUAUGCCUGCCCUACAAUAUUAGAAACCAUGCCUAUAGGGUCAUUUAAUAUUAUUGUUAUGUUUGUCUCACCAUGCUAGAAAUCCUACCUAUAUGGUUUAAAUGGUUUCAAAUAAUAGAAAUCAUGUCUAUAGGUUUUUAAAAUCAACUUCACAAGUAGAUACCAUGCCUAUAGAAUGUGAUCUAGUUCAACAUCUGUUAUUAUGGGUAAUUACAUUUGUUUUCAUUAAAUAUCAUGCAAGCUUCUAACAUUAGCUCUUAAACAACUAGAUAUCAUGCUUAUAAGGAAUAACAUCAGAUACUCUGCCUAUAAAUCUAAAAUCAGUUUAGUUUAAAUAAGUCAGUUCAAUUCAUCUUAGUUUACUUCGAAACUAGCCUAAUUAGUGGUUUGUUUUCCUUAAAUGAAUUCUUUCAAGUACUUCCCUAAUCUGCCAUUAGAAACAUUCCUAUAGGAAUUCAAUAGUCCGUUUUAAAAUCUACUCAUUGUUUUAUUAUAUCAACGUAGUUAUCCUGCUUCUAGCCAUCACCCUUCAAUGUUUAGGCAAGCCUGUAGGGCGUUUUAAAUUCUAUAACUCUGAAACUGUAUUUCUACUACUUGAAGUUGUUCAGAUUUAACAAGUCUAAUCAGUAGGCAAGUUAAAUAGGAUCCUUCAUAUAUUGGCCUACUUCAGUACUUUCUAACCUCUGCUCACCUAGAUAUCAUGUUCUAGGAUUUCCUUUCUUAAAUGUUUAGAUGUUGUUUGAAGACGUGCACUUAUGUGAUAUGCUUGAGGAGGUAACUGUGAGCCUCUAACUUGCUUUAUAUGCAGUCCUAAAUUGUUCUUGCAUGUUGCCUAGAAUUUUCUCCUUUUAAGCACCUUAGGGGUUGUCUAGAACUACCCAGAUUUAGAGGUCCUAAAAUACCUCCAAGGCCACAAGGACGGGAUGGGUAAUGCACGAAUAGGCAUUGUCAAGGUUACUAGAAUGCUUUAGGCUAUGACCAAGGGGAGGGACUUGGGUAGAAUGGGAUAUGAUGACUACGCGCUAAUGUCACGUUUAGACCCUCAUUGAGGAGUGUUUAUCGGGCAUUGCGUGGGGUGAUCCUGUAGGCUAACCAACCUAGGACCCCACCUUUCCAAAAUUUCUUUUGCUUUACUUGUUCUAUAUGUUCAAAAUUUGUCUUAUUAUUUGAGUUAUACAAUGUCCAACGUGCUUUACUUGCAAUUAUUUGUUUCAACAACUUAUUUGUUAAUGGACUAAUUCAUAAAUAUAAGUUCGGGUGGGACCCACAGUUGUGGACCAAGAUGGGUGCCUAACACCUUCCCCUAGAGGUUAUUUCGAGCCCUUACCCUAAAUCUCUGGUAAUGCAAAACAAUCCAAGAGUUAAUUGCUCUAGGUUCCCUAACGCGCCAUAAUCCAUUAGGUGGCGACUCUUUAAAAUCCUUGAUUCCCAAAAGGAAAUGAGUUAUUACCCCCCCAUAAAUGUCGAAAACCCGGACAUUUUCUUUCCCAUAAAAAAGGGAGGGAGAAAAAGGGGGCACAACACACUCUGCAUAAGUUGAACAUUGAUACUGAAAAGAUCCACAAUAACAGGAUAUGUGUCCAGGUUUUGACGGAGGGGGGAAAGAUUCUGUUUUGCGAUAUCAUGCUCGAACUAUCGAUAGGACCAGUUGAAUUUACCGUGGAGUUCUAGGUGCUAGAUGUGGCCGUCUCUUACAAUUUUCUAUUAGGUAGGCCCUGGAUACAUGUUGUCAAAGCAGUCCCUUCUUCCCUGCACCAGAUGGUAAAGUUCGAGUGGGACAGAUAGGAGAUCGUCGUGCAUGGUGAUGAGAACUUGUGUGCUUACAAUGAUACCUCUCUCCCGUUUAUUGAAGCCAAAGAUGAUUACGGUCCCUAGGUCUACCAAGUUUCCGAAAUAGUGUCAGUCGAGAAGAUUUAGGAGGGGGAGUGUAUUCUAGGCCAAAGUUAGCCUCUGCAUCCGUCAUGGAGCCAUCCAAAAUGCUGAAGAAUGGUUUUGUGCCGGGCAAAGGUCUGGGCGCAUUUUUACAAGGUAUCGUAUAGCUAGUGUCUCUACCUGAUAAUCUGGGUACAUUUGGUCUAGGAUUCAAGCCCAUAAGGGACGAUGUGAAGAGGGCUAAAAGGUCGAAAAAGAAGGCAUGGUCACUCCCGAAGCCUAACCCGCUCGUCUCCAGGUCCUUCGUUAAGCCAAGGGUCGUGAAGUGCCCAGUGUCAGCAGUACUAAAGCUUGUGGUCAACGUUGAUGAAGAACUAAUUGAAAGGUUUUUGAGUUUAUUUGGUAAGGUGAAAAUGAUGGAAGUUGGGGAAGGUUCCAGCAAAGCAGAUGUGAAGUUUAUUGGGCCAAAAGUGAAGCUUAACAAUUGGAAGGCUACUCCUCUCCUUACUCGGAAGGAGUUUUGGUAGUGCUCUUUGUUUUCCUUUCUGUUAUCUGGGUUAUUCCAGAGUUGUAAUCCAGAUUUUUAUUUUUUGCUUGUUUUGAUGUACAAACCCUUCUAUCCUUUAUUUUCAAUGAAAUGCCAUUUCCCUUUUUUCAUUACUCCUAAUAGUGUCAUUUUUAUUUUUCUUUGUACAGUUCUUUUUAUGCUGGUUACAAUGACAUGACAUGCAUGAGGAAUUUUCAGCCAAGUAUUAAAAGCCAAUCUAACUCUGAAAUAAUAAUCCAAGAAGUAAAGUGUGAUGAUGAAACAGAAUAUGAUGAGGAAGCGGCAUUUGAGGAAAUUAGUAAGGAACUAAAUCAUUUUGAGGAGAAACCCAAGCCUAAUUUGAAUGAAACUGAAGCAAUCAAUUUAGGAGACCCAAAUAAUGUUAGAGAAACCAAGAUAAGUGUGCACCUGGAACCACAAAAUCAAGGAACAAAUAAUCAAAGCACUAUUUGAAUAUAAGGAUAUUUAUGCAUAGUCGUAUGAUGACAUGUCGGGUUUGAGUACUGACUUGGUAGUUCACAAAUUACCAAUUAAUCCGGCAUUCCCUCCCAUCAAGCAGAAGUUAAGGAGGUUCAAGACUGACAUGAGUGUGAAGAUUAAAGAAGAAAUCACAAAGCAGCUUGAUGCAAAAGUCAUUCGAGUCACGCGGUAUCCCACUUGGUUAGCUAAUGUUGGGCUUGUGCCAAAGAAGGACGGUAAGUCCAGGGUGUGUUUUGAUUAACGUGAUCUCAACAAGGCAAGUCCAAAAUAUAACUUUCCACUGCCGAAUAUCCAUAUUCUGAUUGAUAAUUGUGUCAAGCAUGAGAUUGGGUCUUUUGUGGACUGCUAUGCGGGGUUGUUCAUUGUAACGAGAGUGUUGCCCAAUGGUGCUUUGUAUUUAAUAGAUAUAGAAGGCAAAUGUGUAGAUAUGGCUGUUAAUUCUGACGCUGUCAAGAUAUAUUAUGUAUGAUUUCAUUAGUUUGUCGUCAAUUGCGUUGUUUUUAUUUGGCAUGUUUCAAAAAUAGGAAUGACGAAGGCAUUUUACUCUAUUAUCCAAACACUUUAUCCUUCGUUACCGCUUUUGAGCCUUAAUUUUCUUUCAUACCCCUCUUUUGGAAUUGGAAGUAGGGCUUAAGAAUAAAGAAAUGAAAAAAAAAAGAGGAAAAGAAAAAAAAAGGAAAAAGAGAAAAAGAAGGAAAAAGAGGGAAGAAGAAAAGAAAAAAAAAGAGAAGAAAAAGAAAAGCAAAAGAAAAAGUAACAAAUACGAAGCAACUUUUAUGUCUUGAACUAUGUUCGACCUGAUUCCUUUUAAGGAUACGUAGGCAGCCUCAUGGUUUGAUCUCAUCAAAAUAAAAGUCCAAAAUUCCCCAGACUCAAUGAAACUGGGGCAGAAGUUGUGGUAUUGCGAAAGAUCUGAUUCUAAAAGUUGUAAUUUUGAACCUUGUUAUCUAAAACUAUUUUUGAGCUAGCAUGCCGCCUUUUCUUUCUAACCCUGCCCAAAAGCCUACAUUAUGGUCCAAAGAAAGGCCUUCCGACCAAUCUUUGGGAAAUGCCAAGUCAAGCGAGCUAGAGGUACGAUUCACAUCAUGGGUAACACUUUUAUUCAUGGGCACAAGGAAAAAUAAAUAAAUGAGAGUCUUAUUGGUGAAAACUCUCACGGGCACCGUAGGGCGAUGAAAAGCUAAGAGAAAAUUGUCGCGCCCCAACCUCGAGAGGCGCGACCGGCGCUCAAUCGAGUGAAUCCAACUGAGCAAGCCUUAUCAAACACUUCCUACCCAACUCAAUAUGAAUAAGGAAGCCAUGCUUUCAUUUAUUUAGACGAGGAAAUAUAGUACAUUCAACAUUGUUAGUUCAUUUUAUAUCACAACGUUAAGCCCUAGUUAAGUUCGAAGAUUCCAUACAAUUACACUUUAGAGAUGAAAGAGUUAGAAUUACAACAUAGUUCGUAGACCCACCCAAAACUCGUAUAUCACCCACACAUAUGUCUAUGGAGCCUCUAAAGAUGUAAAAGACAAGUAUGACAAUGCCGACAACAAGGCCCCGGCUAUACCUCAAAAGUGGAAGUCCACAACAAAAGAUGUGCAAUAUAACCCCUUGAAGGAGAAAGGAGCUCACCAAGACUUUGAGAAGAAGGUACUCCGCUACGCACGAUCGACACUAUCCGCAAUUGAGCCACUUACAUUCAUUUAAAAAUGUAGCGCCCCCGGCAAAAGGGACAUUAGUACCAUGGAAUAGUACUAGUAUGUAAAACUAAACAUCAUCUAGUUAGAUAGAACUUUCAUACCAAACAUAAGGAAAGCACAAGUAUAACUCAAAAGCUUUAAACGAUCACAACGUUAUCAAUGUAGAAGAAUCAUACAAUUUUCGCAUUAUGUUUCCAUAGCCUUUAGUUUGGGGCAUUUCAUAUUGUUCAUCAUUGUUCGCUAUACCACCGCUAGCUUGAGCGGAGUCCGAUAUCGACCCGAUGGGCUAGGUUGCUUCACUUGAGACAUACACUUCAAUCACAAUCUCAUUUUUCCCUUUUUAUCCGGGGUUCAAUAUCAACACAAUACCACCAUGUGUGCGUCAUGGCAUCCGAUAUCAGCCCGAUCAGCUAAGCCGCCUUACCAAGGCGUUUCCCUUUUCCAUCAAUCAUCUCAAUUCAAUAUUUGUAUCACAUAUAUCAUUUCAUAGGCACUUAGGGCUACAACUAUCAUGUCAUAUAUUUGGCACUAGGCCACAUUUUACACCAUUCCCAAUUUCAAUGUUAGAUUGGUAAUUUAGGAUAAUAUGUACACAGAAGAGCAAAUAAAGUUGUAAGUGUAGAUGAGACUUCACAUAGAGAACACAACAUAUACAGCUUCAAUCUCAAUUUAAGGUAUAAGCAUUUAAGUACAUGAUUCAUAUUCCUAGCCCCCUUUCAAGUUAACAAGAAUAGCACAUUUAUCAUGUUGAGGCACAUGUUUCAUGCAUAUAAAGUCGCAACCCCAAAUUCAUGUGAAACAACAACUCAUACAACAAUUCAACUCUAAUCUUACCAUAAUUAUGCAAACACCGACGGAGCUCGAUUUCUAAAAGACGGGGUUUUAGCCUUACAUACCUCAACUGAGCUUUCCUUAAUCCUAUAAUGUUCCAGAAUGUUUGCACUUCAAUAUAUGUAAGCAAUAUAGCACAAUCAAACCCAUAAUCAGGAAAAGAUCAUAAUCUAAGCUCACUUGAGCAUUUUAUCAAGCAUUGAGUGUUCAUUAAGGCCUUAUGGUCCUUUUGUGCAAGAUUACACUUAGCCCAUUCCCCAUGCUUCUCUAUUUAUACUUUCCCCAUAUCUUCUAAGAACACAUGCCUGCAAUGCAAUCACCCUUAUACCCAUGAAUUUCCUCACUAAUGAUCCCUUAUAGCUAUGUAUAAAAUAAAGAGCAGAGGUGAUGAAGUCUUACCUCCUGGGAUGAAGGUUUUGGUGCUCCACUUGAUUAUCUUCAAUGUUUUUAACAAGGAUUUGUGGAGCACUUUUGAUGAAAGUCACUUCCCCUCUCUUAGACCCUCCCUCUCACUCUAAAAGGACCAGUAAAUAGGCUCAAAAUGAGCUAUUUCACAAAAUAUGAUGACAGGGGGUCAGGUAAAAAAUUUAGAAAUCUGGAGCACCGACUCAGAUCUCCGAUCGCAUAUACGAUCGCAAAAUUGAUAUGCGGCCCGCAGAAUGGACCACAAAAAUGCUCCCAAAAACUUGAACAAUCUGCCUGGGUAUUGUCACAACUCCUUUUUACAUACCCAAAGGCAUAUAUAAGGGAGUUCUUCAAAUUUAAGUGACAAUCGAAACGAGAUUAUUUAAUCAAAUUCAGAGUCGCCACUUGGGAUAAUUUAUGCUGUCCCAAGUCACCAGUUCAAAUCCCGAAUCGAGGAAUGAUUGACUCUGUUUUAUAAUUUGCGAACACAGAAAUCUGGGUAAGGAAUUCUGUUAACCCGGGAGAAGGUGUUAGGCAUUCCCAGAUUUCGUGGUUCUAGCACGGUCGCUUAAACUAUCAUAAUUGGUCUACUAUCUGAUUUUAAUACAUGUUUUAGCCUAUGGUACAAUUUUAACUUAUUAAACCACUUUUAAUUAUUUUUAGGAAGAUUCAACGUUAUUUAAAAUACGCCUUGAACCAUGCCACAUGAAAUGCACCCACGGUUCGCGACACGUUCUAUUUAUUGUUGUUGAGAUUCGAAUUUGUGUCACAUGAAAUAUACACCCGAAUGGGAAUUAUGUAUCAUGACCAUGUCACGGGAACCAUACCCAUAGUCACAAUAAUUUAUUUAUUAAGAAUUUGCCUAAGGCAUGCUAAUAAUUUUGGAAUCAGUAAUUAUUUAUUAUGAACUGAAAGAACGAAAUGGGCCAACAACGUAUAUUUAAAAGGAUUAGAUUCACUAUAGCUCUUGUUGAAUUAGGCUAAAAAAAAUAUUUGGCCCAUUAUUGAGCUUAUUUAAAGCACUAUAUCCAUCUAGCUCUAAUUCUUAAAGUUUUUAUAUUCAGCUUCAAAAACGAACUUGAACAAGAUUUCAAAACCAUAAAUUAAUAAAGAUAAUAAAUAGAAAAAUCUUUUGUGUUCCAAAAAACUAAUUUGUUCAGCAACUUAAGCCCCAUUUCUAUUGAUGAAUAACAAACAUGAGGGAUCCAAGUUAUAGAUUAUUAAUCUAUUCUGACAAACAAAGCAGUCACUACAAUAUUUAGCAAUAAUUACCAUAUAAAAACAAAAGACAAACUAUACUCAGAACUAAUCAAGUGAAUUAGAGAAAAUGAGUAAAAACAUGGAUAAGAUAUGGUCAAAAAUAGAGACUAGGAACUAAAAUGAAGGGAAAGAUGAAAACAGACCUUUAUUGAUAAUUUUUCUUUUCUAUUGCAUACAGUGGAACAAUGCUCUAGAUAUGCAUGAAAUGACCCAUCUCCGGAGCGCAAACAGAACUUCGAUAGAUCGUAGCUUCGAUCGAACCGCGACUAGAACAAGGAAAACUCACUGGAAAAUCUCGUAACUCCGCGUAUUACUUGGAUCGACUCCGACGUGUAUAUAUAUAUAUUUUUUUUUUGACGUGAAAUUAGUGAUUAUUUUGAAUUGUAUUAAGAGGGAAAUAGGGAAGCUGCAACUGCUGAAUUUGCUAGCUUUGUUGUUGUGUUAUUCCUUGAAGAAUGAGUUGUAACGCUAGAGUUCGAAGAUCCAGGUCUAUGGAGAAAAUAGCAACUGAUUUUGGAGCUUUGCAGUGAGGUGUUGUGUUGCCGCUGUGCGUGAGUAUGUAGGGUGGUGUUGGAGGGUUCCGAUUGGUUGAGGUUGUUUAGUUUUUGUCCACCAUAGAAAAUGGGUAAAAUUAUCUUUAGGAAGAAGAAGAUGAAACUCUGCUUUUUUCUCCCAUUCCCAACUUUGCCCAGAUAUAUUUUCCGUCCUUUUUUUCAGUGUGUGCAUGUGUUAUAUAGAAAGAAGAAACGUGAAAGGAAAGAUUCCCCAGCUCUUUUUCCUUCUUCAGGACGUGAGUGUGCAUGUGAAUUUGGAUAAGAGGGAAUAAAAGUGGUUAUAGAAAAAGCUAGG
Molecule: long non-coding RNA, 25791 nt
Filed under: Nicotiana tabacum (common tobacco)
Lineage: Eukaryota; Viridiplantae; Streptophyta; Magnoliopsida; Solanales; Solanaceae
Description: long non-coding RNA (NTAB_LNC001874)
Source: RNAcentral